CCUACGGGUGGCUGCAGUGAGGAAUAUUGGACAAUGGGAGCAAUCCUGAUCCAGCAAUGCCGCGUGUGGGAUGACGGGGCUUUGCCUUGUAAACCACUGUCGGACGGGACGAGAAGAGGUAAGAACCUCUGGGACGGUACCGUCAAAGGAAGGAUCGGCUAACUACGUGCCAGCAGCCGCGGUAAUACGUAGGAUCCGAGCGUUGUCCGGAAUUACUGGGUAUAAAGGGUGCGUAGGCGGCUUUUUGCGUCAGAGGUGAAAUCCACGGGCUUAAC
Molecule: ribosomal RNA, 275 nt
Filed under: uncultured bacterium
Lineage: Bacteria
Description: partial 16S ribosomal RNA
Rfam family: Bacterial small subunit ribosomal RNA
Source: RNAcentral